UCCAGUGAAGUGCGAGGGGAAAUCGUAACCCUAGAGCCCAACACUCACAUGGCGCCCUCGCGCCGCCGCGCGCGGUCGAGCGAGCCGGCGGCGGACCUGCUGACCUCCCUGCCGCCGCCCCUGCUCGACAGCAUCCUCGCUCGCCUCGACCUCCGCGAGGCCGUCCGCACCUUCGCGCUCUCUCGCGCCUGGCGCCGCCGUUGGGUGGACCUCCCCUGCCUCUCCCUCGGCCUCAUCGGCAAGGGUGGCAUACCCGCGGUGGCCGUCGACAGCGUUCUCCUUCGCUACCCCGGCAACAUCUCGAAUUUCUCCAUCCGCUCCCUCGACACGCACUCCGUCCGCCGCGUCGACGACUGACUCAUCGCCCUCUGCAACCGCGGCGUCAGGUCCAUCGAUCUCCAUGCCCCAGACUUAGCUCUUCACUCUUCUGUCUUCUUAUGCACGAGUCUCGUGUGCCUGAAGCUGCACUUCUGCUUGAUACCUCCUCUCCCCGUGGAAUUCACUGGCUUCCCCGUGCUGGAGCAGCUCAAUCUCAUGGCCGUCAAAUUCCCUCAUAAUGGGGAGAUCCAACUGGAGGCGAUUAUCAACGCGUCACCCUUGCUUAAUACCCUGACUCUUUCCUAUGUCGAUACACGCAGCGAGGCCUUCCCCGGUUGGGUGAUUGGGGGGGCCAAUCUCCGGAGCCUAACUAUCGUUUCCAAUGAUAAUCAUGGCUGGCAAGUCGCCGAGCUACCAAAUCUCCACGAAGGCACCAUCAAUUUGGAAUACUGUGAUAACUUUAGUGAUUUCGGAGGACUUCUUGCUGGGCUUGCUCAAGCUCGGAAGCUCACUCUAAAUAAGUGCUACCCAUCGUUCACAGAGGAUCAUAUCCUGGAAACACUUGCAUGCACCUUUGACAACUUAAAGAGUUUAACCCUCUGGACUCACUUUGAGGAAAUGCCUACCAUUUUGUCAACCUUUUGCAUGUUGAGGAAUGCUCCUAACCUUGAAGAACUUGAUAUAAUGGUACAAACUAAACACACUGCCUUGUAUCUUUAUCCUACAUAUGUUGUUUUGGAGGUUGGCAUGCUACUCGUAUGAUUUAUACGUUUGGUUUAUUUUUCACGAUCGAUGUUUUUUCGGAUGAGGAAAAUGAAGCAAAUGGGGAGUUUCAGAAUGCAGAAUGGACCGACGGCAUGUGUCCCAACCUUCAAGUUGUGCGAUUGACGGGUGUUCUCUGUUCGUCAAAUGAAAUGUGUUUUAUACAGCUUCUUUUAUCUAAAGCUACAGUUCUUCGCAUUAUGUCUAUUAAUCUUGGUUACGGAAGCUUAAAGUCUAGUGAAGAUGCACUGCGUGAACUGAUAACAUAUAGAAGAGCUUCACCCCAUGCUCAAAUCUUCUUCGACGGCAAAUAGGGUGCAUUUCUGGGCGUGUGCAGACGACAUUCAUGUUGCUCGCCUGUGUAAGAUGUUGUCAUUUUCAUCUCCACCAUUCGGGUCACUUGAACAGAACAGAAAUAUUGGGUCACGUUCAGUUACCAGCAUUCCGGAUUCGCGGGGAGGUAGCUAAUGUUCCUUUUAAAUGUAGCUAGUUUGUAUGAAAGGGAGAACAAUUGUUCCCAGGGGCACAAAUGAAAUGACGAGCGGCAGGUGCACCGACCGUGGCUUCAGGGAAUUGAACAAUCCCCAGCAUGAGCUGAUCCAUGGAGGUUGGCUCUCAUGUCUCGUCGGCACCAUAGCGACUUUGCGAGUGGCAAUUAAUUGAUUGAGUACGUGUGCUAGAAUAUCAUAGUCAGUGUUGACCUACGCUCAGCUGAAUUGUUGAUUCGUAGAUACUCACCCAGAGUACAGAUCAGUUUUUAAGCCGCCUAUCCAUCAUUGAUUUCCAGCAAUCGUGCGUGCCAUACGCGUAGAUGGUGGUUGGCGGAGGGUUAGCAUUUGGCCAGCCAUAUGACAAACUGUGCAAUUAGAUUAGUUUUUUCUUAACUGUUCAAACACGAUGAAAUUUGGCAUGGAGAUUUGCUGCUCACCGAGAGCAGAUGACCCUGGG
This 2028-nucleotide ribosomal RNA is filed under the name Triticum aestivum (bread wheat). RNAcentral describes it as "partial small subunit ribosomal RNA". The record is from RNAcentral. Lineage: Eukaryota; Viridiplantae; Streptophyta; Magnoliopsida; Poales; Poaceae.